GUCGAGAAUCUUUCACAAUGGGGGCAACCCUGAUGGAGCGACGCCGCGUGGAGGAUAAGGUCUUCGGAUUGUAAACUCCUGUCAUGUGGGAGUAAAGCCGGGUGUUAAAUGCAUGCCGGUCUGAGAGUACCACAAGAGGAAGGGACGGCUAACUCUGUGCCAGCAGCCGCGGUAAUACAGAGGUCCCAAGCGUUGUUCGGAAUCACUGGGCGUAAAGGGUGCGUAGGCGGCGCGGAAAGUCAGGGGUGAAAUCCCGGAGCUCAACUCCGGAACUGCCUUUGAUACUCCCGCGCUUGAGAACUGGAGGGGAGACCGGAAUUCACGGUGGAGCAGUGAAAUGCGUGGAUAUCGUGAGGAACACUAGUGGCGAAGGCGGGUCUCUGGACAGUAUCUGACGCUGAGGCACGAAGGCCAGGGGAGCGAACGGGAUUAGAAACCCGGGUAGUCC
Molecule: ribosomal RNA, 448 nt
Filed under: uncultured bacterium
Lineage: Bacteria
Description: partial 16S ribosomal RNA
Rfam family: Bacterial small subunit ribosomal RNA
Source: RNAcentral